ACACGCAUGACACACUGCAUAUCAAUAAGCGGAGGAAAAGAAACUAACAAGGAUUCCCCUAGUAACGGCGAGUGAAGCGGGAAGAGCUCAAAUUUGAAAUCUUCAAGGGUUUCCCUUGACGAAUUGUAGUUUAAAGAAGUGUUUUCUGUUAGAGAGGUGGUAAAAGUUCUUUGGAAUAGGACAUCAUAGAGGGUGAGAAUCCCGUAUUUGACUAUUCUUUCUACUAACGUUGUGAUACACUUUCAAAGAGUCGGAUUGUUUGGGAAUGCAGUCCAAAAUGGGUGGUAAAUUUCAUCUAAGGCUAAAUAUUGGCGAGAGACCGAUAGCGAACAAGUACCGUGAGGGAAAGAUGAAAAGAACUUUGAAAAGAGAGUUAAACAGUACGUGAAAUUGUCAAAAGGGAAGCGUUUGACACCAGUGUUGUUUUCUCGAAAAUCAAUUAAAAAUGCCGGAUUUUGUGUUGUAUUGACCUUAUAAGCUUUCUUCGCUCUUUUUCUUAUCUUUUUUAAUGCACUUUUCGUUUAACAAGUCAACAUCAAUUUCUUUUGUUGUAAAAGAGUCAUUGGAAGGUGGCUUUUCUUUCGGAGAAAGUGUUUAUAGCCUUGUGCCUCUGCAAUCGGAGAGAUUGAGGUCUGCAGCGUAGAUCCUUCGGGGUUAGAUACAUUUGUGCUAAGUUAUAGCUUUUCAUAGACAACUUGUUGACUAUGUUUAGUCUUGUAGCUUACUCGCUUAUGCUAUUUUACCUACGCUUAGGAUGUUGACUGAUAUGUAGUCGUA
RNAcentral lists this ribosomal RNA (777 nucleotides) under uncultured Neocallimastigales. Its description in RNAcentral is "partial large subunit ribosomal RNA". It matches the Rfam family "Eukaryotic large subunit ribosomal RNA", at positions 23 to 644 of the family's 3401-position model. Lineage: Eukaryota; Fungi; Neocallimastigomycota; Neocallimastigomycetes; Neocallimastigales. The record is from RNAcentral.